UCACUCUGGUUUCCCUUCAAAUCACGCAUAAAUCUUUCGCCUUUUACUAAAGAUUUCCGUGGAGGGGAACAAUUGAUGAGUCUGUAAGACAAUUUUUUGUUGUACCCAGCUUUUUCAAGCUGGGU
This 125-nucleotide small nuclear RNA is filed under the name Melipona quadrifasciata. RNAcentral describes it as "U5 spliceosomal RNA". It matches the Rfam family "U5 spliceosomal RNA". Rfam says of the family: U5 RNA is a component of both types of known spliceosome. The precise function of this molecule is unknown, though it is known that the 5' loop is required for splice site selection and p220 binding, and that both the 3' stem-loop and the Sm site are important for Sm protein binding and cap methylation. Lineage: Eukaryota; Metazoa; Arthropoda; Insecta; Hymenoptera; Apidae. The record is from Rfam by way of RNAcentral.